CAAGAAGUAGUUUAAUUAGAAUAUCAGCUUUGGGUGUUGAUGGUAGGGAGAGAGUUCCUUCUUCUUGA
Molecule: transfer RNA, 68 nt
Filed under: Taeromys dominator (Giant Sulawesi rat)
Lineage: Eukaryota; Metazoa; Chordata; Mammalia; Rodentia; Muridae
Description: tRNA-Pro
Source: RNAcentral